AUACGUAGGGGGCGAGCGUUGUCCGGAAUGAUUGGGCGUAAAGGGCGCGUAGGCGGCGCGGUAAGUCUGGAGUGAAAGUCCUGCUUUCAAGAUGGGAAUUGCUUUGGAUACUGAUGGGCUUGAGUGCAGGAGAGGUUAUCGGAAUUCCCGGUGUAGCGGUGAAAUGCGUAGAGAUCGGGAGGAACACCAGUGGCGAAGGCGGGUAACUGGACUGCAACUGACGCUGAGGCGCGAAAGUGUGGGGAGCAAACAGGAUUAGAUACCCUGGUAGUCCACACUGUAAACGAUGAAUGCUAGGUGUAAGAGGUAUCGACCCCUUUUGUGCCGGAGUUAACACAAUAAGCAUUCCGCCUGGGGAGUACGGCCGCAAGGUUGAAACUCAAAUGAAUUGACGGGG
RNAcentral lists this ribosomal RNA (397 nucleotides) under uncultured bacterium. Its description in RNAcentral is "partial 16S ribosomal RNA". It matches the Rfam family "Bacterial small subunit ribosomal RNA", at positions 523 to 918 of the family's 1533-position model. The record is from RNAcentral.